This 251-nucleotide ribosomal RNA is filed under the name uncultured prokaryote. RNAcentral's name for it is "partial 16S rRNA". It matches the Rfam family "Bacterial small subunit ribosomal RNA", at positions 525 to 775 of the family's 1533-position model. The record is from RNAcentral.
ACGUAGGAUGCGAGCGUUGUCCGGAUUUAUUGGGCGUAAAGAGUUCGUAGGUGGUUCGCUAAGUCUGAUGUUAAAGACUGGGGCUCAACCCUGGAGAUGCAUUGGAUACUGGCGGACUGGAGUGCAGUAGAGGCAAGCGGAAUUCCCAGUGUAGCGGUGAAAUGCGUAGAUAUUGGGAAGAACACCGGUGGCGCAAGCGGCUUGCUGGGCUGUAACUGACGCUGAGGAACGAAAGCUAGGGGAGCGAAUGG